AGCAGUAAGACUGAGUGUUAGGCAAAUCCGGCACUCAUAAGGUCAAGCUGUGAUGGGGAGAGGAAAUUGUUUCCUCGAGUCGUUGAUUUCACACUGCCAAGAAAAGCCUCUAGAUAGAUAACAGGUGCCCGUACCGCAAACCGACACAGGUAGUCAAGAUGAGAAUUCUAAGGUGAGCGAGCGAACUCUCGUUAAGGAACUCGGCAAAAUGCCCCCGUAACUUCGGGAGAAGGGGUGCUCU
Molecule: ribosomal RNA, 241 nt
Filed under: Brevibacterium casei
Lineage: Bacteria; Bacillati; Actinomycetota; Actinomycetes; Micrococcales; Brevibacteriaceae
Description: partial 23S ribosomal RNA
Rfam family: Bacterial large subunit ribosomal RNA
Source: RNAcentral